AAAAAUAGGAUUAGUACCUAUUAUUAAAAUGUAAAUUAAUUCUAAAGUAGUAAUAGUUAUGUUCUUGAACUUAAAAAAUUUGGCGGUAUUUUAGUCUAUCCAGAGGAACCUGUUUUGUAAUCGAUAAUCCACGAUGGACCUUACUUAAGUUUGUAAUCAGUUUAUAUACCGUCGUUAUCAGAAUAUUUUAUAAGAAUAAUAAUAUUCAAUAAUUUUAAUAAAAAUUUAUAUCAGAUCAAGGUGUAGCUUAUAUUUAAGUAAUAAUGGGUUACAAUAAAAAUAUUUAUACGGAUAAAAUUAUGAAAAAAUUUUUGAAGGUGGAUUUGGUAGUAAAAUUAUAUAGAUAAAUAAUUUGAUUUUAGCUCUAAAAUAUGUACACAUCGCCCGUCGCUCUUAUUAUUAAGGUAAGAUAAGUCGUAACAUAGUA
Molecule: ribosomal RNA, 427 nt
Filed under: Zaprionus indianus
Lineage: Eukaryota; Metazoa; Arthropoda; Insecta; Diptera; Drosophilidae
Description: partial 12S ribosomal RNA
Source: RNAcentral